Long non-coding RNA from Macaca fascicularis (crab-eating macaque), 1691 nucleotides. Lineage: Eukaryota; Metazoa; Chordata; Mammalia; Primates; Cercopithecidae. The record is from Ensembl.
UUUUUUUUUUUUUAAAGAGGGGCAAAUUCAGUUCAUAAUUAGGGGAGGAGUAGUUUUUGGAUUCUAUCCUCUACAUGAAAUCUGUUAUAAAUAUGUCCUGCCAAAAUCCUGCACUGUAAUGUGCCAGUUUUGUAAUAGGUUUAGUUCUCUGGUCUUUUUCUCUAAGUCCAAAUUCUCCGUCAUUUUAAAACAUUUUGUCCUUGAAAACCUUUUUUUUUCUCACAAUUUUUAAAAGAUGAUGUGGUAUGCAUGUUUUAAGCCAUCCCAUCUGUGACAGCUGAAGACAAAACCGUCAGCUUGAGUUUUGGCACAACUUGGGCCUCUGUCUUGUAAUCUCAUUUAUGCCUGUCCUAGAACUGUUCUUAUUAACCAGGAAUUCUUAUCUCAUAGCCACAGCUGAGGGCAGCAUUGUGGCUCUUUGAGUACAAUCAGUGCACUGGCUAAAAUGACGUCCAGAUCUUUGUUAGAGCAGACACCAUCUUUGGAAUCGACUCUGAUGUUGAAAAUUGUUGAACCCCUUAAGCUGUCUCGUUUCUUUUGCUUGAAUGAUGGUCUGAACUGGGCAACAUCAGAGAACAAUGACUCUGGCUCUUUGAAAUGUUGAUUUUCAUCUGUGCCAUGAUGUGAUGAGCACAUAAACUAUAUAGUUGGUCGAUGAUAAUAAGGCUUUCUACAAAGAACACCAUAUUUACCAUUUAGUUGCCAUCUCACUUGCCAGAAAGCUUUGUCCAUAAACAGAGCAGACUUCAUGAAGCCCAGAGUUAAAUAAGAACCUUGACAUAACUGAAGCCACAUCAAAUUUUUAUAUUUUUAUUGUUCUUAUUUCACAUAAUUUUAAACACAACACUUCAUUGGAUGUCAAGUCACCGGCACUAGAAUUUUUUAAUAGAGUCAAGUCCAUAAUUUUCUCUUUGAUUUGAAACUUAGAAUUAUUUUGAAAGAUAAGCUUUUAUGUCUUCAUGCUGUAUAUUCAAUAACACAGACAUCCUUUAUAAUACAAUCAUGUCCAUUUAUCAUAAUGGUUAGAUUAUAGGAUCUACCACUCUAGACUGUUGCCUAAUUUUAGCUCUGUGACAUACAUAAUUUAUGAAUUGUUGGUAACUUGAGAAUGUGUUUAUAUCCAGAAAGAGUGACUAUAUAAAAAAUAACUCCCUAAGACAUUUGCCUAUUGGUAUUGAGAUCGUUCCUUUGUUUUUGGAAUAUGAAUAUAUUUCUGUCUGCAAGACAUAAAACCCAGGUGUUAAUUUAUUAUCAUCAAAGACAUCAUCUCAAAAUCUGAAAGUUGAAUCUAGUUAACAACUCUAAUAUGUGAAGCCAAACAAUUGACUGAUUUUUUUUUUUUUUAAGAUUUGGAAAUAGAGGCAUUACAUCUGCUAUUUUAGAAUAGUUGAGCUUAGAAACAAAUGCUUUUAAGGACAUGAAAGCUAUGAUACUACCAGGCAAAUAGUUUUCUUUGCAAUUUCUCUAACAUGAGGCUAAUUUUAUCAAUUUUCAGUAUUUGUAAAAUCUACAUAUGGGUUACACUAUUACUUGGGUAGAUUUAGUCGAUGAUCUCACCCAGGAAUCUUGGCUAAUACACCAUAUAUUAGCCUGAUGCUCCCCACUUAUGAACUUUAUUAGCCCACUAUUAUGCAAUGAAAGGGAAACAGUGCAUAUAUGGCAAUGGAGGCAUCACAGUGUAAAGUAACCCC